RNAcentral lists this ribosomal RNA (491 nucleotides) under uncultured bacterium. RNAcentral describes it as "partial 16S ribosomal RNA". It matches the Rfam family "Bacterial small subunit ribosomal RNA", at positions 29 to 506 of the family's 1533-position model. The record is from RNAcentral.
AGUGAACGCUGGCGGUAGGCCUAACACAUGCAAGUCGAACGGCAGCACAGUAAGAGCUUGCUCUUACGGGUGGCGAGUGGCGGACGGGUGAGGAAUACAUCGGAAUCUACUUUUUCGUGGGGGAUAACGUAGGGAAACUUACGCUAAUACCGCAUACGACCUACGGGUGAAAGCAGUGGAUCUUCGGACCUUGCGCGAUUGAAUGAGCCGAUGUCGGAUUAGCUAGUUGGCGGGGUAAAGGCCCACCAAGGCGACGAUCCGUAGCUGGUCUGAGAGGAUGAUCAGCCACACUGGAACUGAGAAACGGUCCAGACUCCUACGGGAGGCAGCAGUGGGGAAUAUUGGACAAUGGGCGCAAGCCUGAUCCAGCCAUACCGCGUGGGUGAAGAAGGCCUUCGGGUUGUAAAGCCCUUUUGUUGGGAAAGAAAAGCAGCAGGUUAAUACCCCGCUGUUCUGACGGAACCCAAAGAAUAAGCACCGGCGAACUUCGU